GGCCUACCAUGGUGGUAACGGGUAACGGGGUGUUAGGGCACUACACCGGAGAGGGAGCCUGAGAAACGGCUACCACAUCCAAGGAUGGCAGCAGGCGCGCAAAUUACCCAAUCCCGACACGGGGAGGUAGUGACAAUAAAUAACAAUACGGGGUUCUUUCGGAUCUCGUAAUUGGAAUGAGUACAAUUUAAAUCUCUUAACGAGGAACAAUUGGAGGGCAAGUCUGGUGCCAGCAGCCGCGGUAAUUCCAGCUCCAAUAGCGUAUAUUAAAGUUGUUGCAGUUAAAAAGCUCGUAGUUGAAUUUCGGGGUCAGUAGGUUGGUCGUGCCACAGGUAUGAACUGGUCUCACUGAUUCCUCCUUCCUGAUGAACCGUAAUGCCAUUAAUUUGGUGGUGGGGGGAGGCGGGACUGUUACUUUGAAAAAAUUAGAGUGUUUAAAGCAGGCUAACGCUUGAAUACAUUAGCAUGGAAUAAUGAAAUAGGACGUUCGGUCUCAUUUUGUUGGUUUCUAAGAUUGACGUAAUGAUUAAUAGGGAUAGUUGGGGGCAUUAGUAUUCAAUUGUCAGAGGUGAAAUUCUUGGAUUUAUUGAAGACUAACUACUGCGAAAGCAUUUGCCAAGGAUGUUUUCAUUAAUCAAGAACGAAAGUUAGGGGAUCGAAGACGAUCAGAUACCGUCGUAGUCUUAACCAUAAACUAUGCCGACUAGGGAUCGGAUGAUGUUAAUUUUUUAAUGACUCAUUCGGCGCCUUACG
This 753-nucleotide ribosomal RNA is filed under the name uncultured Glomeromycotina. Its description in RNAcentral is "SSU rRNA". It matches the Rfam family "Eukaryotic small subunit ribosomal RNA", at positions 338 to 1092 of the family's 1831-position model. Lineage: Eukaryota; Fungi; Glomeromycota. The record is from RNAcentral.